GAGAAUAUAAAAUAUUGAUAUGUAACUGGUAAUCGGUUCGUGGUGUGAUUCUAUGUAAGAAAGGCUUAUUGAGUACCUUAAGAACGGACUGACAGACCCAGUACGUAGGGAAUCCUACUGUGGACAUUACCUCAAUUGGACGGGGUUAAGAAGUCCUAUACCGAAAGAGUUUGAGAGAUAUGGUUCACCCUCAUACCAAACGGGGUAUCGAGACGAUAAUGUGUUUGGCGCCUAUUACCGGACGGGGUAUAGGAACGCCGGGUUAAUUGACAAAUCUAGAUAUUGAGUUCAUGAAUAGGAGAAUAUCCAUAUGGACCCCCAAGGGUUCCAGUAAGCAG
This 338-nucleotide long non-coding RNA is filed under the name Carica papaya (papaya). RNAcentral's name for it is "long non-coding RNA (CPAP_LNC003153)". The record is from RNAcentral. Lineage: Eukaryota; Viridiplantae; Streptophyta; Magnoliopsida; Brassicales; Caricaceae.